Molecule: RNA transcript, 1493 nt
Organism: Solanum lycopersicum (tomato)
Lineage: Eukaryota; Viridiplantae; Streptophyta; Magnoliopsida; Solanales; Solanaceae
Gene name: LOB domain-containing protein 36-like
Source: RefSeq, a predicted model, not a curated record
UGUGCAUUUAGUAAUGAUUUCUUUUCCUUUUUAAUCUCUCGUAUCUUUUCUCCCAUCCCCCCUCACUCUUAAAUUCUGUCUCAUAUAUUCAUUCAUAAUAAUUAAAAAAAAAAACUAAACGUGUUAUCUUUUUGUUGUAUUCUUUUGAAAAUCGAUCGGAUCGACAAGAAUGAAUCUUCAUUUGCUCAAUUUUUUGUCAUAAAGAUGAUAUGAAUUUUAAGGAGAGAGAAAGAGACGAAGGAUUAAAGUUUGAUCUAUAGUGGUUUUGACAAAAUACAAGGGCAAAAUAUCAUGUCAUCGUCGAAUUCUCCAUGUGCAGCAUGCAAAUUCUUGCGUAGAAAAUGCACACAAGAAUGUGUUUUUGCGCCAUAUUUCCCACCAGAUCAACCUCGAAAAUUCGAGAACGUACACAAGGUGUUUGGGGCUAGUAACGUGGCUAAAUUACUCAACGAAUUAAACGCGACUCAACGGGAAGAUGCUGUAAAUUCCCUAGCUUAUGAAGCGGAAUAUCGCCUCCGUGAUCCGGUUUAUGGUUGUGUUGGACUAAUUUCAAUACUUCAGCAUAAGCUUAAGCAAGUUCAAGAUGAUUUGUUGAAUGCUAAGAAAGAUUUAGCAACGUAUAUUGGUCCACAAGCAAUGUUGCCAAUGCUUCAACACUCUGGGUAUAUUCAACAGCAUCCCAAUAAUCCCUCUUCUUCUAAUAUGAUGGCUUAUAAUAUGCAGCCAAUGGGAUUGCAAACAGGGAUGCAACAGCAUGGUGCUCAAUUAAUGAUGCGUGAUCCACAACAACAACAACAACAACACCAAGUGAUUGAAGCUCAUCAAUUAGCCGCGGUAAUGGCUGCAAGGGAACAGGAGAUGAUGAGAACUUAUGAGCAACCACAACAACAACAAUUCAACAGCGGAUAUGAUUCUGCAGGGCCAGUAACGGCAACAGGAUUUCAUCAAAUGAGUUCAUCAAUGUCACCUUCAUUGGCAUUAGCGUCAUUUGACAAUGAUCCUUACCAGAUUCAACAAGCCCAGCAGGAGCAGCAUCACGGCCAGGUUCAGGUUCAGCCACAUCAAUUGCUUCAGCAACAACAACAGCUACCGCAACAACCACAAACACCACAGCAGCAACAGAGAGCCAACAGUGAAGAGGAAAGGAGCAUUGGUCCUUCAUGUUAAUGUUACAAGUGAUUUUUUCUUCUAACAAAUAUUUUUAAUCUUGGUUGCUUGAUGUGUGGAGCUAUCAAGUAUAAUAAUUUUAGAAUAAAAUUUUACAAAGAAGAUGGAGAUGGAGAUGAGAAUAUUCAACUUUUAUAGUGAAAGGUGGCAAGUAUCUGGCCUUUUUUUUAAAGAUUUUUCUUUCUUAUCACCCCCUUUUGAGUUGUUGAAGGGCAUGAUUUAAUUAUUGUGGGAGGUGAAUUAUUUUAACAUAUAAUAGAAAAUUAGUACUAUUGUCUUUCAUUUACGCUGACUUUAUGCUACAAUCAUACAUGUUUUUUUUUUAA